RNAcentral lists this ribosomal RNA (861 nucleotides) under Streptomyces sp. Sp080513M2-13. RNAcentral's name for it is "bacterial SSU rRNA". It matches the Rfam family "Bacterial small subunit ribosomal RNA", at positions 38 to 914 of the family's 1533-position model. The record is from RNAcentral. Lineage: Bacteria; Bacillati; Actinomycetota; Actinomycetes; Kitasatosporales; Streptomycetaceae.
GGCGGCGUGCUUAACACAUGCAAGUCGAACGAUGAACCACUUCGGUGGGGAUUAGUGGCGAACGGGUGAGUAACACGUGGGCAAUCUGCCCUUCACUCCGGGACAAGCCCUGGAAACGGGGUCUAAUACCGGAUAACACUUCCACUCGCAUGGGUGGGGGUUAAAAGCUCCGGCGGUGAGGGAUGAGCCCGCGGCCUAUCAGCUUGUUGGUGAGGUAACGGCUCACCAAGGCGACGACGGGUAGCCGGCCUGAGAGGGCGACCGGCCACACUGGGACUGAGACACGGCCCAGACUCCUACGGGAGGCAGCAGUGGGGAAUAUUGCACAAUGGGCGAAAGCCUGAUGCAGCGACGCCGCGUGAGGGAUGACGGCCUUCGGGUUGUAAACCUCUUUCAGCAGGGAAGAAGCGCAAGUGACGGUACCUGCAGAAGAAGCGCCGGCUAACUACGUGCCAGCAGCCGCGGUAAUACGUAGGGCGCGAGCGUUGUCCGGAAUUAUUGGGCGUAAAGAGCUCGUAGGCGGCUUGUCGCGUCGAUUGUGAAAGCCCGGGGCUUAACCCCGGGUCUGCAGUCGAUACGGGCAGGCUAGAGUGUGGUAGGGGAGAUCGGAAUUCCUGGUGUAGCGGUGAAAUGCGCAGAUAUCAGGAGGAACACCGGUGGCGAAGGCGGAUCUCUGGGCCAUUACUGACGCUGAGGAGCGAAAGCGUGGGGAGCGAACAGGAUUAGAUACCCUGGUAGUCCACGCCGUAAACGGUGGGAACUAGGUGUUGGCGACAUUCCACGUCGUCGGUGCCGCAGCUAACGCAUUAAGUUCCCCGCCUGGGGAGUACGGCCGCAAGGCUAAAACUCAAAGGAAUUGAC